AGUGAACGCGGCGGCGUGCCUAAUACAUGCAAGUCGAACAGAGAUUAAAUAGCUUGCUAUUUAAUCUUAGUGGCGCACGGGUGAGUAAUAUAUAGUUAAUCUGCCCCAUAGUGGAGGACAACAGUUAGAAAUGACUGCUAAUACUCCAUACUCCUUCUUAUCAUAAGUUAAGUCGGGAAAGUUUUUCGCUAUGGGAUGAGACUAUAUCGUAUCAGCUAGUUGGUGAGGUAAUGGCUCACCAAGGCUAUGACGCGUAACUGGUCUGAGAGGAUGAUCAGUCACAUUGGAACUGAGACACGGUCCAAACUCCUACGGGAGGCAGCAGUAGGGAAUAUUGCGCAAUGGGGGAAACCCUGACGCAGCAACGCCGCGUGGAGGAUGACACUUUUCGGAGCGUAAACUCCUUUUGUUAGGGAAGAAUAAUGACGGUACCUAACGAAUAAGCACCGGCUAACUCCGUGCCAGCAGCCGCGGUAAUACGGAGGGUGCAAGCGUUACUCGGAAUCACUGGGCGUAAAGGACGCGUAGGCGGAUUAUCAAGUCUCUUGUGAAAUCUAGUGGCUUAACCACUAAACUGCUUGGGAAACUGAUAAUCUAGAGUAAGGGAGAGGCAGAUGGAAUUCUUGGUGUAGGGGUAAAAUCCGUAGAGAUCAAGAAGAAUACUUAUUGCGAAGGCGAUCUGCUAGAACUUAACUGACGCUAAUGCGUGAAAGCGUGGGGAGCAAACAGG
RNAcentral lists this ribosomal RNA (730 nucleotides) under uncultured Campylobacter sp. RNAcentral's name for it is "bacterial SSU rRNA". It matches the Rfam family "Bacterial small subunit ribosomal RNA", at positions 28 to 776 of the family's 1533-position model. Lineage: Bacteria; Pseudomonadati; Campylobacterota; Epsilonproteobacteria; Campylobacterales; Campylobacteraceae. The record is from RNAcentral.